Molecule: ribosomal RNA, 432 nt
Filed under: uncultured bacterium
Lineage: Bacteria
Description: bacterial SSU rRNA
Rfam family: Bacterial small subunit ribosomal RNA
Source: RNAcentral
CCUACGGGGGGCAGCAGUGGGGAAUAUUGCACAAUGGGCGAAAGCCUGAUGCAGCGACGCCGCGUGAGGGAUGACGGCCUUCGGGUUGUAAACCUCUUUCAGUAGGGAAGAAGCGAAAGUGACGGUACCUGCAGAAGAAGCGCCGGCUAACUACGUGCCAGCAGCCGCGGUAAUACGUAGGGCGCAAGCGUUAUCCGGAUUUAUUGGGCGUAAAGAGCUCGUAGGCGGUUUGUCGCGUCUGCCGUGAAAGUCCGAGGCUCAACCUCGGAUCUGCGGUGGGUACGGGCAGACUAGAGUGAUGUAGGGGAGACUGGAAUUCCUGGUGUAGCGGUGAAAUGCGCAGAUAUCAGGAGGAACACCGAUGGCGAAGGCAGGUCUCUGGGCAUUUACUGACGCUGAGGAGCGAAAGCAUGGGGAGCGAACAGGAUUAGA